Molecule: ribosomal RNA, 239 nt
Filed under: uncultured bacterium
Lineage: Bacteria
Description: partial 16S ribosomal RNA
Rfam family: Bacterial small subunit ribosomal RNA
Source: RNAcentral
GAUCAUGGCUCAGGAUGAACGCUAGCUACAGGCUUGACACAUGCAAGUCGAGGGGCAUCAGUUUGGUUUGCUUGCAAACCAAAGCUGGCGACCGGCUCACGGGUGAGUAACACGUAUCCAACCUACCUCAUACUCGGGGAUAGCCUUCCGAAAGAAAGAUUAAUAUCCGAUAGCAUAUAUUUCCCGCAUGGGUUUUAUAUUAAAGAAAUUCGGUAUGAGAUGGGGAUGCGUUCCAUUAG